RNAcentral lists this ribosomal RNA (253 nucleotides) under uncultured bacterium. RNAcentral's name for it is "partial 16S ribosomal RNA". It matches the Rfam family "Bacterial small subunit ribosomal RNA", at positions 524 to 776 of the family's 1533-position model. The record is from RNAcentral.
UACAGAGGUCUCAAGCGUUGUUCGGAUUCAUUGGGCGUAAAGGGUGCGCAGGCGGCCAUGUGUGUUAGGUGUGAAAGCCCGAGGCUCAACCUCGGAAUUGCGCCUGAAACUACAUGGCUAGAGUACUGGAGAGGGUAGCGGAAUUCAUGGUGUAGCAGUGAAAUGCGUAGAUAUCAUGAGGAACACCAGAGGCGAAGGCGGCUACCUGGACAGUUACUGACGCUCAGGCACGAAAGCGUGGGGAGCAAAAGGG